AUGGCCGGGCGGCCGCGGUUCCCCUCGCGCAGGCGGGCGGGGGCCGAGGAAGGUCCGGGCUCCACGGAGGCACGGCGCCGGGUAACGCCCGGCCGGGGAAACCCGAGGGAAAGCGCCACAGAAAACAGACCGCCCGGCGCGCCUUUCGGGGCCGCCGCGGCAAGGGUGAAACGGCGGUUUAAGAGACCACCGCGUCCCUGGCGACAGGGACGGCACGGCAAGCCCCGCCGGGAGCAAGAUCAAGUUGGGUCGCGCGCGCUUCGAUGCGCAGGGGGUCGCCUUCGCCCCCGCGGCCGUGGUGGAUCGCGAGAACCCGUGCGCGAGCGCGGGUCCAGAUGAAUGGUCGCCCAGGGGUCUUCGGACCCUGGACAAAACCCGGCCUACAGGCCGU
RNAcentral lists this RNase P RNA (391 nucleotides) under Albimonas pacifica. Its description in RNAcentral is "Bacterial RNase P class A". It matches the Rfam family "Bacterial RNase P class A". Rfam says of the family: Ribonuclease P (RNase P) is a ubiquitous endoribonuclease, found in archaea, bacteria and eukarya as well as chloroplasts and mitochondria. Lineage: Bacteria; Pseudomonadati; Pseudomonadota; Alphaproteobacteria; Rhodobacterales; Paracoccaceae. The record is from RNAcentral.